GGACGAACGCUGGCGGCGUGCCUAAUACAUGCAAGUAGAACGCUGAAGGAGGAGCUUGCUUCUCUGGAUGAGUUGCGAACGGGUGAGUAACGCGUAGGUAACCUGCCUGGUAGCGGGGGAUAACUAUUGGAAACGAUAGCUAAUACCGCAUAAUAUUGACUAUUGCAUGAUAGUCAGUUGAAAGGUGCAACUGCACCACUACCAGAUGGACCUGCGUUGUAUUAGCUAGUUGGUGGGGUAACGGCUCACCAAGGCGACGAUACAUAGCCGACCUGAGAGGGUGAUCGGCCACACUGGGACUGAGACACGGCCCAGACUCCUACGGGAGGCAGCAGUAGGGAAUCUUCGGCAAUGGACGGAAGUCUGACCGAGCAACGCCGCGUGAGUGAAGAAGGUUUUCGGAUCGUAAAGCUCUGUUGUAAGAGAAGAACGAGUGUGAGAGUGGAAAGCUCACACUGUGACGGUAUCUUACCAGAAAGGGACGGCUAACUACGUG
RNAcentral lists this ribosomal RNA (496 nucleotides) under uncultured bacterium. RNAcentral describes it as "partial 16S ribosomal RNA". It matches the Rfam family "Bacterial small subunit ribosomal RNA", at positions 27 to 507 of the family's 1533-position model. The record is from RNAcentral.